ACGGGAGGCAGCAGUGGGGAAUAUUGCACAAUGGGGGAAACCCUGAUGCAGCAACGCCGCGUGAGUGAUGAAGUAUUUCGGUAUGUAAAACUCUAUCAGCAGGGAAGAAGAUGACGGUACCUGACUAAGAAGCACCGGCUAAAUACGUGCCAGCAGCCGCGGUAAUACGUAUGGAGCAAGCGUUAUCCGGAUUUACUGGGUGUAAAGGGAGCGUAGACGGCGUGGCAAGUCUGAUGUGAAAGCUAUGGGCUCAACCCAUAAACUGCAUUGGAAACUGUCAUGCUAGAGUGUCGGAGAGGUAAGCGGAAUUCCUAGUGUAGCGGUGAAAUGCGUAGAUAUUAGGAGGAACACCAGUGGCGAAGGCGGCUUACUGGACGAUAACUGACGUUGAGGCUCGAAAGCGUGGGGAGCAAACAGGAUUAGAUACCCUGGUA
Molecule: ribosomal RNA, 434 nt
Filed under: uncultured Ruminococcus sp.
Lineage: Bacteria; Bacillati; Bacillota; Clostridia; Eubacteriales; Oscillospiraceae
Description: partial 16S ribosomal RNA
Rfam family: Bacterial small subunit ribosomal RNA
Source: RNAcentral